This 490-nucleotide ribosomal RNA is filed under the name uncultured bacterium. Its description in RNAcentral is "partial 16S ribosomal RNA". It matches the Rfam family "Bacterial small subunit ribosomal RNA", at positions 30 to 507 of the family's 1533-position model. The record is from RNAcentral.
AUUGAACGCUGGCGGCAGGCCUAACACAUGCAAGUCGAACGGUAACAGGAAGAAGCUUGCUUCUUUGCUGACGAGUGGCGGACGGGUGAGUAAUGUCUGGGAAACUGCCUGAUGGAGGGGGAUAACUACUGGAAACGGUAGCUAAUACCGCAUAACGUCGCAAGACCAAAGAGGGGGACCUUCGGGCCUCUUGCCAUCGGAUGUGCCCAGAUGGGAUUAGCUAGUAGGUGGGGUAACGGCUCACCUAGGCGACGAUCCCUAGCUGGUCUGAGAGGAUGACCAGCCACACUGGAACUGAGACACGGUCCAGACUCCUACGGGAGGCAGCAGUGGGGAAUAUUGCACAAAGGGCGCAAGCCUGAUGCAGCCAUGCCGCGUGUAUGAAGAAGGCCUUCGGGUUGUAAAGUACUUUCAGCGGGGAGGAGGGGAGUAAAGUUAAUACCUUUACUCAUUGACGUUACCCGCAGAAGAAGCACCGGCUAACUCCGUG